This 119-nucleotide ribosomal RNA is filed under the name Triticum aestivum (bread wheat). Lineage: Eukaryota; Viridiplantae; Streptophyta; Magnoliopsida; Poales; Poaceae. The record is from RNAcentral.
GGAUGUGAUCAUACUAGCACUAAAGCACCGGAUCCCAUUAGAACUCCGAAGUUAAGCGUGCUUGGGCGAGAGUAGUACUAGGAUGGGUGACCUCCUGGGAAGUCCUCGUGUUGCAUUCC